RNAcentral lists this long non-coding RNA (2599 nucleotides) under Homo sapiens (human). RNAcentral describes it as "HSALNT0212220". Lineage: Eukaryota; Metazoa; Chordata; Mammalia; Primates; Hominidae. The record is from RNAcentral.
UGAAGCGCAAGGGUGUCUACAUCCGAAUUUCAUUUCAGCGAGAUGGCGUAGGACGCCUCGGUGCCCAAGAACCCAAUGAAUGUUAAGUUUGAAAGCAUUUCUGACAGCUCUACUGAUUUGCCUCAGUCAGGCAAUUACUAAAAGAAUUAUUGUGCACCUUGGGGUACUUGACAGCCUCCCAGGAGAAGGCAGCAGCUGCUCAAACGUGCAAGGACGCCGUCUCAGUAUCACUCAGUGAUGGAGGGAGGGGGGUAUUAUGAUUUUCUCCUGUCUCUUGGAGGUUACACUGCAGUAGCGAGAACUGAAAUGCAGUACAAGGAACAAGGAUAAGUGAAAUAGACAGUCAGUCCGCAGAUAUUUAUGGAACACCUGCUAUGUGUCAGGCAUUGUGCUAGGUUCUAGGAAUACAAAAGUGAACAAAACGAAGUCCCUUCCCUUGGAAACCUUACAUUCUAAGAAAAUCGACAGAAUUGAAUGUAUCCAACGCAAUAAAUAUAUGAAGACUUGUGAUAAAUGAGAUGAAGGAAAAUAACAGGGUCUAUGAGAGAGACUAAAGGGGUAAGAAACUAAUUGAAUUGUAUGGUCAGGCCAAGCCUCUCUAAAUGACCUUUCAUUUGAGAUCCGAAGGAUGACGAGGAGUCAUCCAGAAGAACAGUAUGGGAAAGAACUCCUGAAAAAGGAAGAAACAGCAGCUUUUAGAAGACAUGUGCUGGGCACGGUGGCUCACGCCUGUAACCCCAGCACUUUGGGAGGCUGAGGCAGGAGGAUCACUUGAGGAGUUAGAACAUCCUGGGCAACAUAGCAAGACCUCAUCUCUAUUAAAUAUCAAAAAAAUUAGCCGGGCGUGGUGGCGCAUGCCUGUAGUCCCAGCUGCUCGACAGGCUAAGGUGGGAGGAUCUCUUGAGCCCAAGAAGUCGAGGCUGCAGUGAGCUAUGAUUGUGCCACUGCACUCCAGCCUGGGUGGCAGAGCGAGACCCUGUUUCAAAAAAAAAAAAAAAGCAAAACAAAAAAACAAACAAAAACCAUAGGCUCAAGUGACCCUCCUGCCUCAGCCUCCUGAGUAUCUGGAACUACAGAUGCUCACCACCACGCCCAGCUAGAAUAAAAGAAAUUCUUAUUGAUUCUUAUGGAGUGGACUUACUCAUCACACUUGCCUCCAGAACAACCAAGUUUAAAGUUGUGAUUUUUAGGAAAACGCUGCUACCUUUGGACAAGCAAUAGAAGAGAAUUUAUUUUAGGGCAUGCAUCAAAAGUACUACACCAAAAAUUAUAAUACCAAGAGAUUAAACUGGGGGAGUUGUAUGUAGGAGAUUAUAGAAGGUAUGAUAACAGACAUUCCGGGUACACUUGGAGACAAGCUUUACUUCCUGCUCAGAGCACUUCACUCUGUUCCCACUCCAUUCCAUGUCACAUGUCUAGGAUCCAGGGAUUAUAGACCAGAGUGACAUUUGACAACCAGCCAUUCCCCUGUUCUCAGUCUCUGGUAGUAAAUAGAAGCACUCACAAAAAUUUCAAAGAUGAGGCUGGGCUGGCCUAAAGACCUCAGGUGGAUAAAUACUACCACCAUGUCCAUUUUAGUGGUACUGUUGCUGAACUAAGACCUAGAGGCACCAGAAUAUUACCAAAUCUGGAAAUAAGGGGACAGUAUGGGUUAGGACCCAUGGAUAAGGCUGCACAAUGUGAAAUGGUCUCAUUAUACUGCCCCCUGUAUUGGCAUCUUACUGUCUUUCCCUUAGUUAUAUUUUGGGAAAUAAAUGGUCUGAUAAGGUCAGGGUUAUAUCUAAGGAUUCAGCCUUUGUCACAAAGAGUUUCUUUGCAGGAGAGCUGGAAACUUAACGCUUCAAUCCUGAAGACUGUGCUAUUGAAAGAAUAGCUGGGACAGUUUUGUGACAAAUUGUUGCAUCUGUCACAGAUGCACCUAAAGCAAUUGCAAACUGUAUUUUAGAAAUAAAAAUUCAUCUCUGAAAUUCAGUCUCCUCUGCAGUGGGAUCCAAAAGAUGUGAAUAGGAACAUGGGCAAGAGUCUCCGGCAGGAUAGUGUGUUCUCAUUCAAUUAAUGUUUAUUGAGUACAGGGUAAGUGCUGGGCACUGAGCUAAGUGCUAAGGAGACAGCAGUGAACAAGCCAGACACAGUCUCUGCCAUUAUGGGUCUCAUGACUUACCAGAAAAAACAUUAAACAGUAAUGACAGAAUUGACUCUUUCAUGACAGUUGGGAGAAAUGGGAUGAGGCAGAAAGAAGCAUGGAGUGUGUGAGCUUGCAUGAUGGGGGGACCCUAAGGUAGCCUGGAAGGUCUGGAAAGACUCCCAUGAGGAAGUGAGUUAAUUAAUCCAGGGGAUGAGAACAUCCCAGGCAGAGGAAACCCAGUGACAACACCAAAUCAAGUGAAACCAGCAAUGAAAAAUAUGUGGGGUUUGUACUCCAUGUAAGCAUCAAGAAGACCUGGAUCAAAUAGCCCACUAGUUGUCCCUCCUCUUGGUUUAAUAAAACCACUCAUUCAAGAAGCAGAAUGAACAUAAAUAUUAAUGGUGCUAUAGAGAAUGAUAUAUUUAGAGAGAAAACUCUUAGUCAUGAUAAUAGCAACUCCAGCUUGGACUGCAG